Molecule: ribosomal RNA, 576 nt
Filed under: uncultured bacterium
Lineage: Bacteria
Description: bacterial SSU rRNA
Rfam family: Bacterial small subunit ribosomal RNA
Source: RNAcentral
CAAGGCGACGACGGGUAGCCGGCCUGAGAGGGCGACCGGCCACACUGGGACUGAGACACGGCCCAGACUCCUACGGGAGGCAGCAGUGGGGAAUAUUGCGCAAUGGGCGAAAGCCUGACGCAGCGACGCCGCGUGGGGGAUGAAGGCCUUCGGGUUGUAAACCCCUUUCACCAGGAGCGAAAACAGACGGUACCUGGGGAAGAAGCGCCGGCUAACUACGUGCCAGCAGCCGCGGUAAUACGUAGGGCGCAAGCGUUGUCCGGAAUUAUUGGGCGUAAAGAGCUCGUAGGCGGCCUGUCGCGUCCGCUGUGAAAUCCUGGGGCUUAACCCCGGGCGUGCAGUGGAUACGGGCUGGCUAGAGGCAGGCAGGGGAGAACGGAAUUCCCGGUGUAGCGGUGAAAUGCGCAGAUAUCGGGAGGAACACCGGUGGCGAAGGCGGUUCUCUGGGCCUGUUCUGACGCUGAGGAGCGAAAGCGUGGGGAGCGAACAGGAUUAGAUACCCUGGUAGUCCACGCCGUAAACGUUGGGCGCUAGGUGUGGGUCCCUUCCACGGGGUCUGUGCCGCAGCUGACGCAU